GAUGAAGAACGCAGCGAAAUGCGAUAAGUAAUGUGAAUUGCAGAAUUCAGUGAAUCAUCGAAUCUUGAACGCACAUUGCGCCCGCUAGUAUUCUGGCGGGCAUGCCUGUCCGAGCGUCAUUUCAACCCUCAAGCCCCCGGGCUUGGUGUUGGGGAUCGGCGAGCCUCCGCGCCCGCCGUCCCCUAAAUCUAGUGGCGGUCUCGCUGUAGCUUCCUCUGCGUAGUAGCACACCUCGCACUGGGAAACAGCGCGGCCACGCCGUUAAACCCCCAACUUCUGAACGUUUGACCUCGGAUCAGGUAGGAAUACCCGCUGAACUUAAGCAUAUCAAUAAGCGGAGGA
Molecule: unclassified non-coding RNA, 342 nt
Filed under: soil metagenome
Description: partial contains 5.8S ribosomal RNA, internal transcribed spacer 2, and large subunit ribosomal RNA
Rfam family: 5.8S ribosomal RNA (bases 1-119)
Source: RNAcentral